AACGAACGCUGGCGGCAGGCCUAACACAUGCAAGUCGAACGCUCCGCAAGGGGAGUGGCGCGCGGGUGAGUAACACGUGGGAACCUACCUUCUGGUACGGAACAACCAAGGGAAACUUUGGCUAAGACCGUAUACGACCUCCGGGUGAAAGAUUGAUCGCCGGAAGAGGGGCCCGCGUCCGAUUAGGUAGUUGGUGAGGUAACGGCUCACCAAGCCUUCGAUCGGUAGCUGGUCUGAGAGGAUGACCAGCCACACUGGGACUGAGACACGGCCCAGACUCCUACGGGAGGCAGCAGUGGGGAAUAUUGGAC
This 311-nucleotide ribosomal RNA is filed under the name uncultured bacterium. Its description in RNAcentral is "bacterial SSU rRNA". It matches the Rfam family "Bacterial small subunit ribosomal RNA", at positions 29 to 369 of the family's 1533-position model. The record is from RNAcentral.